Small nucleolar RNA from Engraulis encrasicolus (European anchovy), 137 nucleotides. The record is from RefSeq and is a predicted model, not a curated record. NCBI's taxonomy places the organism in Eukaryota, Metazoa, Chordata, Actinopteri, Clupeiformes, Engraulidae.
UUUGAGGUCUAUCCCGAUGGACCCCUCUCUGUAGGGUCAUAUCGUUGGAAACGCCUCGCAAAUCAUAUCUGUGGUCAUCGCUUUACCCUCAACGAUGCAUCAGUCGUCAUUGUGGGCAAUAAAACUACAGGACACAU